This 1128-nucleotide long non-coding RNA is filed under the name Olea europaea (common olive). Its description in RNAcentral is "long non-coding RNA (OEUR_LNC004308)". The record is from RNAcentral. Lineage: Eukaryota; Viridiplantae; Streptophyta; Magnoliopsida; Lamiales; Oleaceae.
CUUAGGGGGGUGUCCUCAAUCUAGAGUUUGAUGGAUUUUAAAACUCCAUAUAAAUUGAAGUAUCCUCAAUUUAGAUUUAAAUAUAAUUCAUCAAAAUAUAGGUGUCCCCAAUCUAGAUUUUUAAAAAUACUUAUAAAUUUAGGUGUCCUCAACAUAAAUUUUAAUAGGUAGUUUUGAAAUUUAGAUGUCCUCAAUAACUAGUUGAUUUUAAAAGAUUUCAUUAAGUAGAUAGAUUUUGAAGGAUUUCAAGGUAAAAAUAUAAGUACAAAGAAUCAGUAACAAUUUUAACCCAAACCUAAAAAUUUCACAACAUUUCUCACCUCUCUCCAUAUUUGCUACCCUCUCUCUCUCUCUCCCCCACCCCCCUCCAUCUUCAACAAGAUUUUCUUCUUUUUUCUAUCUCACAUUUCUCUACUGUGAAAAAAUCAUGUAUGAAAACUCUUCAAUUGAUGAUAAUUUAUGAAAGAUUACUAUUUUUUGUUGAAUAUUGGGUGUGAUUUUUUAUUGAACUUAUUUUUUCUUAUCGAAACUAUAUAUUGUUUACUAUUUUAUAGAUGUGCUGGAAGUUAUCAUGAUAAUUUACGAUUUCUAAUAUGCAUACUGGAACAACUUCGUCUUUCAACCCUAUUCCUUUUUCUUGGAAAGAGCUGUGUGUUUUCUAUAUAUACCUGCAAAUCCUAACCAAGAUAUGUAAGGAUGGUAUCCCACAAUUUUUUCUUUUGUGUUUGCAUGGUCAAUGAGAAUUCUGGGGGUAUGGAAUUAAUUGCCUUGUGGUCAUGUAUGUGUACAUCUGUGUGCUUAUAUCUCACAAGGUUGUGGCAUUUUGAACUAAUUCAUAUUGAUUGCGAUUUUGAUUAUUUAACACUACAUAUUUUUGUCCUCUCCCACUCUCGCAUUUUGUUGAAUAUUGGGUGUAUUUUUUAUUGAAGCCCUGUUAUAAUAUUCAGAGCCCGUUUGAGCCACAUUAUAAUGAGAAUGAGAAUUAGAAAUAGAGUCGUUAUGGGCUUCACAUCAGAGAUAGAAAUUCAAAAAUGGUGGCUUAAUGUGAUGGAUAACGGUCAUAUUUUUCAUUUUAAUGAGGUAAAAAUGGGGCUCAAACAGGGGCUCAAUGUUUAACAAACAAUUGAA